AGCGAACGCUGGCGGCAGGCCUAACACAUGCAAGUCGAACGGACCCUUCGGGGUUAGUGGCGGACGGGUGAGUAACACGUGGGAACGUGCCUUUAGGUUCGGAAUAGCUCCUGGAAACGGGUGGUAAUGCCGAAUGUGCCCUUCGGGGGAAAGAUUUAUCGCCUUUAGAGCGGCCCGCGUCUGAUUAGCUUGUUGGUGGGGUAAUGGCCCACCAAGGCUACGAUCAGUAGCUGGUCUGAGAGGAUGACCAGCCACAUUGGGACUGAGACACGGCCCAAACUCCUACGGGAGGCGGCAGUGGGGAAUCUUGCGCAAUGGGCGAAAGCCUGACGCAGCCAUGCCGCGUGUAUGAUGAAGGUCUUAGGAUUGUAAAAUACUUUCACCGGUGAAGAUAAUGACUGUAGCCGGAGAAGAAGCCCCGGCUAACUUCGUGCCAGCAGCCGCGGUAAUACGAAGGGGGCUAGCGUUGCUCGGAAUUACUGGGCGUAAAGGGAGCGUAGGCGGACAUUUAAGUCAGGGGU
This 521-nucleotide ribosomal RNA is filed under the name uncultured bacterium. RNAcentral's name for it is "bacterial SSU rRNA". It matches the Rfam family "Bacterial small subunit ribosomal RNA", at positions 28 to 595 of the family's 1533-position model. The record is from RNAcentral.